Molecule: ribosomal RNA, 497 nt
Filed under: uncultured bacterium
Lineage: Bacteria
Description: partial 16S ribosomal RNA
Rfam family: Bacterial small subunit ribosomal RNA
Source: RNAcentral
GAUGAACGCUGGCGGCGUGCCUAAUACAUGCAAGUCGAGCGAACAGACGAGGAGCUUGCUCCUCUGACGUUAGCGGCGGACGGGUGAGUAACACGUGGAUAACCUACCUAUAAGACUGGGAUAACUUCGGGAAACCGGAGCUAAUACCGGAUAAUAUAUUGAACCGCAUGGUUCAAUAGUGAAAGACGGUUUUGCUGUCACUUAUAGAUGGAUCCGCGCCGCAUUAGCUAGUUGGUAAGGUAACGUCUUACCAAGGCAACGAUGCGUAGCCGACCUGAGAGGGUGAUCGGCCACACUGGAACUGAGACACGGUCCAGACUCCUACGGGAGGCAGCAGUAGGGAAUCUUCCGCAAUGGGCGAAAGCCUGACGGAGCAACGCCGCGUGAGUGAUGAAGGUCUUCGGAUCGUAAAACUCUGUUACUAGGGAAGAACAAAUGUGUAAGUAACUAUGCACGUCUUGACGGUACCUAAUCAGAAAGCCACGGCUAACUACGUG